Molecule: ribosomal RNA, 119 nt
Filed under: Harpegnathos saltator (Jerdon's jumping ant)
Lineage: Eukaryota; Metazoa; Arthropoda; Insecta; Hymenoptera; Formicidae
Source: RNAcentral
GUCAACGGUCAUAUUACGUUGAAAACAUCAGUUCUUGUCCGAUCACUGCAGUCAAGCAACGUUGGGCAUAAUUGGUAUUUGGAUGAGUGACUGCUUGAGAAUACCGUGUACUGUUCGCU